This 253-nucleotide ribosomal RNA is filed under the name uncultured bacterium. RNAcentral describes it as "partial 16S ribosomal RNA". It matches the Rfam family "Bacterial small subunit ribosomal RNA", at positions 524 to 776 of the family's 1533-position model. The record is from RNAcentral.
UACGUAGGGUGCGAGCGUUAAUCGGAAUUACUGGGCGUAAAGCGUGCGCAGGCGGUUGAUUAAGUCUGAUGUGAAAGCCCCGGGCUCAACCUGGGAAUGGCAUUGGAAACUGGUCAGCUGGAGUGUAGCAGAGGGGGGUGGAAUUCCGCGUGUAGCAGUGAAAUGCGUAGAGAUGCGGAGGAACACCGAUGGCGAAGGCAGCCCCCUGGGCCAACACUGACGCUCAGGCACGAAAGCGUGGGGAGCAAACAGG